Molecule: non-coding RNA, 380 nt
Organism: Hydra vulgaris (swiftwater hydra)
Lineage: Eukaryota; Metazoa; Cnidaria; Hydrozoa; Anthoathecata; Hydridae
Source: RefSeq, a predicted model, not a curated record
UGUAAAAAUCUAGCUUUUAUAUAUUAACUUGUGAUCAGAGCAACUAGUAUGUUGGUUGGAUAUAUUACAUAUCCAUUCGAUGUUUAUCACCAGAAGUUAGUUCUACCUUUGCAGUACCUCUGCUUUACAUACCUCCUCGCUGGUUAAAGAAUGGAAUAUAAAUCUCAUAUCAAGUUGGUGUAAAAAUUUAGUUCAAUAAAUUAAGAAUUUAUAAACGUUCUCAAAAUUUUGAGUGGAGCAAUUGUUUUUCUGGUUUAGCAUGAGUAUGAAUCUGAUAUCAAUUGUAUGUACAAAGAUAGUUUACUUCUUAAAGAACCUAUCAGUAAACCAACUGAUUAUAAAACAGUUUUUAAUGGGAAUAAAAACAAAUUUUCAAAAGA